This 279-nucleotide ribosomal RNA is filed under the name uncultured bacterium. RNAcentral describes it as "partial 16S ribosomal RNA". It matches the Rfam family "Bacterial small subunit ribosomal RNA", at positions 506 to 784 of the family's 1533-position model. The record is from RNAcentral.
UGCCAGCCGCCGCGGUAAUACAUAGGGGUCAAGCGUUGUCCGGAUUUACUGGGCGUAAAGCGCACGUAGGCGGAUUGGAAAGUAGGGGGUGAAAUCCCAGGGCUCAACCCUGGAACUGCCUCCUAAACUAUCAGUCUAGAGUUCGAGAGAGGUGAGUGGAAUUCCAAGUGUAGAGGUGAAAUUCGUAGAUAUUUGGAGGAACACCAGUGGCGAAGGCGGCUCACUGGCUCGAUACUGACGCUGAGGUGCGAAAGCGUGGGGAGCAAACAGGAUUAGAUA